This 467-nucleotide ribosomal RNA is filed under the name uncultured bacterium. RNAcentral describes it as "partial 16S ribosomal RNA". It matches the Rfam family "Bacterial small subunit ribosomal RNA", at positions 29 to 507 of the family's 1533-position model. The record is from RNAcentral.
ACGCACGCUGGCGGCGUGCUUCACCCAUGCAAGUCGCACGGAAAGGCCCUGCUUUUGUGGGGUGCUCGAGUGGCGAACGGGUGAGUAACACGUGAGUAACCUGCCCUUGACUUUGGGAUAACUUCAGGAAACUGGGGCUAAUACCGGAUAGGAGCUCCUGCUGCAUGGUGGGGGUUGGAAAGUUUCGGCGGUUGGGGAUGGACUCGCGGCUUAUCAGCUUGUUGGUGGGGUAGUGGCUUACCAAGGCUUUGACGGGUAGCCGGCCUGAGAGGGUGACCGGCCACAUUGGGACUGAGAUACGGCCCAGACUCCUACGGGAGGCAGCAGUGGGGAAUAUUGCACAAUGGGCGGAAGCCUGAUGCAGCAACGCCGCGUGCGGGAUGAAGGCCUUCGGGUUGUAAACCGCUUUCGCCUGUGACGAAGCGUGAGUGACGGUAAUGGGUAAAGAAGCACCGGCUAACUACGUG